GAUGAACGCUGGCGGCGUGCCUAAUACAUGCAAGUCGAGCGAACAGACGAGGAGCUUGCUCCUCUGACGUUAGCGGCGGACGGGUGAGUAACACGAGGAGAACCUACUUAUACGACUGGGAUAACAUCGGCAAACCGGAGCGAAUACCGGGUAAUAUAUUGAACCGCACGGAUCAUGAGUGAAAGACGGUUAUGCUGUCACUUGUAGAUGGACCCGCGCCGCAUUAGCUAGUUGGUAAGGUAACGGCGUACCAAGGCAACGAUGCGUAGCCGCCCUGAGAGGGUGGUCGGCCACACUGCAGCUGAGACGACGUCCAGACUCCUACGGGAGGCAGCAGCAGGGAAUCUUCCGCAAUGAGCGGAGGCCUGAUGGAGCAGCGCCGCGUGGGUGGUGAUGGUCUUCUGAUCGUAGAACUCUGUUAUUAGGGAAGAACAAAUGUGGAAGUAACUGUGCACGUCUUGACGGUACCUAGUCAGAAAGCCCCGGCUAACUACGUG
This 497-nucleotide ribosomal RNA is filed under the name uncultured bacterium. RNAcentral describes it as "partial 16S ribosomal RNA". It matches the Rfam family "Bacterial small subunit ribosomal RNA", at positions 28 to 507 of the family's 1533-position model. The record is from RNAcentral.